GCGCUUUCUAUGACGUCACCGCGGCUGCGCCGGAAGCGGCGUGGGAGGACAGAGGGAGGGUGUUGGUGCUCCUGGUGUGGAACUCUGGGCUUGGCCAGGUCGGAGCAGCUGCCCUGGCCUGGAGCCCAUGGUCCCUGUGGAUCCCAGAGGAUUCCAGAGCUGGGGAGAACCCAACACAACACUGCUGACCUCCCGUGCACCCACAGAGUUGGAGUCUGCAGCCUCCCCAAACUCCAGG
Calypte anna (Anna's hummingbird) is the source of this 238-nucleotide long non-coding RNA. RefSeq lists it as uncharacterized. NCBI's taxonomy places the organism in Eukaryota, Metazoa, Chordata, Aves, Apodiformes, Trochilidae. The record is from RefSeq and is a predicted model, not a curated record. The transcript is spliced from 2 exons.